UAGGAAAUCUAUUUAUUCACUGGGGAGUUGAUGAAAUAUUGAUGGCUCUGUAGUCUAUAAGCAACUACCACAAUCUUAUCCUUCACCCAUCCCCUGCUUAUCCUUCACACCCCCUUUGAACCGCUUCAACGCUGUUCUCUCAAACCGUUGAAACGGACUCCAACACACUCCAUCAUCAUCGUCUCCAACAACACCCCCAAUCACAUCAACACCACCAUCAUCAUCAUCUCCAAGUUCAACCGCCUCUCUCAUCAACACCUUCAAUUCAUCAACCGGCCAUUCAAACUCCUCCACCUCCUUCUUCUCUCUCAUCUCUCCUCCUAAACCCCUCUUCCCUCCAAUUUUCGCUCGAAUUGCAGAGAGAAGUAUUGGAUCCAAGUAAUCUUCAAGCCUCUUGGUUGAACUCGACGAUUCGGAGCUCGUGAUAUCAUCAUUCCUGUAAGUAAAAAGGCAAAUCAUAUAUUCACAUACUUGUUGAAAUUUGAAUGGAUAUGGUUGAGAGAUGUGAUGAGAAUUUUGAGUACCUAAGUCUGGUGGAUGAUGAGGUUGAUGACUGGGAGUGAAGAGAGGGAGGUCGAACGAGGCGUCUCUGGAUCUCUUCGACGGUGGCGAGAGGUUUCGAAUCCUCGGCUUUGCUUUUCUCCAUCUCUGUUGUCUCUCUUCCGCCGGAGACUCUCUCUCUCUCUCUCUAUCUGGCGUUUGGGCUUUUGAAGCGAUUUUCGAUCCUCCUUUAAAGCGUGGUCUGAAGAAGGUAUAUUACUACUACCUGUCCUGUUUUUCGCGUACGUGAACUAUGUUCUCUAUUGAUACGUGUUGGUGAGGCAUCUUGUUCUCAUUAUUAAUGCUCGUUCCUCAAUCUGUACCUAUUUGAAGGGAAGGAGCGAAAGCAAAAUAUCCAUGGUGAUGAGUGUUUGUUCCUCUGCCCUAGUGAGAAGUGAGGGAAAGCUGCCCAUUGGUUCGACCAGUUUUAUCAAUCGUGGUGAAAAGAUUACAUGUGAUUUUGACCAAGAGAGGUCCAAGACAUCAUCCAGGUGACCUGUGAAAGAGCAUACUGGUCUUUCUGAGAGCGAGAAUACAGUUUCUGGCACAUGGACAUAAUCAGGUAUUAAGUUACCCUUUUUUUUGGUGGACCCUUUUCCCCUCUUCCUCCUCUCUGACAGCAUUGGCGAAAGCUCUGCGAGAUGCAGCCGUUCUUUCCUUCUCUCUGAUGGCAUUGGCGAAAUCUCUGUAAAUGAAGAUGGUCGGUCUGACAUACUUCUUGCCAUGGGGUGAAGUGGGGUAGAACUAACAGAAUUAUAAUCAUCAUAUGGUUUUACCGAUGUAACUUCACAUUCUUGUACUUCCCACACGUGAAUUACCCGAUCUUCGCCUGCACUCGCUAGGUAAUGCCCAUCUGGAUUGAAUCUCAUUGUCCAAAUCGAGCCCUCAUGAGCCUGAAUUUCUUGACACAAAUGCAAGGCAGUAAAUUCUUUAAUGGAUUUCCCAUGCUGACGGACUUUAAUCCACUUAUUGGUUGAAUUCUUGUUAGUCCGUUGAUCUCCUAUUGAAUGAUCUCUUUCUUUGUCGACGAUUAAUCCGCUCAUUGAAUUUGCUACACCCUUUAUGUUCUUCAACAGGGCAACCCCUCUUCUCUUGCUGUUUCGAAACCUCUUGCUAAGGUAUGAAUUCGUGUUGAUUUUCCUUGCAUCGUCGAGGCUUCUUGAUACAUUUUCGCGGCGCAUAAGCUCUUUAACGACAGGGGAAUAACCGACACACUUCUCGAAUUCCUCCAUGGUUAGCUGCUUCCCAGUCUGAACUUCGCUCAGCCUAUUCCACAUCCCAUCGUCAUUAAACUCUUUGACGAUGAACUCCUUACCUGUAUCCAAAUUUUUUAUCAAAAAGAACGCACCAAACUGACCAUCCGACAAUAUAGAUGACAACACGGCGCUGUUGAGCAUUGAAGAUCUAUUUCUGGAUCUUUUUGGUGAUACUUUUACUGUAUUUGCAUAUUGACAUAUACCACCAUGUGGUGUUACUAACAUUGACGAUGUUCUUGUGAGCCGUUGUUUUGAUAUGUUUCCUAUGAAUUCUUCUUUCCUUUUCCUAGUGUUUGCAGAAAAUGAUUCUAUAUCUCCGUCUGAUCUUGAUCGAAUGAGAAAAAUCGGAGUACUUGAAGGUGAAGGUGAAGUGUCCAGUUUCAAAUCUUCCAAUGGGGAUGAAUUGUUCACUGACAUUGUCGAAGGCUGAUCGCGGUCAUAGUUCAUUCUCUUCGAACAAGAAUCCUUGAGCCUGGUGUUAUUGCGGCUGAGCAAGUUCUUGUUGCUUGACAGCCCCAUUCCCUGAAGAAGCCGCCUCCGACGCUCCUUAAUUGAUCCGGGCUCCGCCAUCCACAUGUUGAAAUCCCUAAGCAUUGAUGCCUGGGCUCUGGCUGGGUCGAUGCCCCGCAUGUUGUGAAUGGGGGCCGAUGACAUGGCGGAAGCAAAGGAUGUGCGACUGUCAUCACCCUCGUCAUCGUCUGACCCAGAAGAUGCCAAGUCAAUGGGUACAGCGGAGGGCAAUCUAUCGAAGCUUUCAAAGAAGCGGUCAUCAUCAUCGUCAUCUAGUAAACCUUCCCAAUUCAUUGUCAUUGUCCUUCGCUCCAUCACUGUGCAUUUUGUAUGAAGUUUUUGGUGCAUUACUGAACCUCUUUGUUGAAUUUGAAUCAUUUUUGUACAUUGGCGAAUAGGUAUUAUCAGCAGAUCAAAUCAGAAUCGAGAAAAGAUAGAAGAAAAAAUGUGUGAGAUCUUGAGUGAGCUGUGCUAGAAUAUUUCUUUUUUCUUCUUUUGUUUCAUUGAGAAAGAAGUGGCUUGGAAAGAGAGGAUGGAAGAGAGAAAAACAAGGGAGAUGACAGUUAUGUUUUUCUUUGUUUGGUUGGCAAGAAAGAAAGGGUCAAGGGGUUGUCAAUUACCUCUCCUCACGUCCCUACAUGUUACCAAGCAAGUGGAUUUCGUUAACAUUUUCAAAACUUGUCUAGAUUUACCACCACUCAUAUCUUGCCACGUCAAACCCUAUAAUUCUUUUUUAUUUUUUGAUUUUUAAGUGAUGGAUACGACCCCUACCCGCUUUGACCUGAAUCUUAAUAUCAUGAUCUUAUUGUAAUAAUCUGACGAUCUAGAUUUAAAGUUGAAUGAAAAUAUGAUAUUGUCCUUGGGUGUUUGAAAAAAA
Camellia sinensis is the source of this 3183-nucleotide non-coding RNA. NCBI's taxonomy places the organism in Eukaryota, Viridiplantae, Streptophyta, Magnoliopsida, Ericales, Theaceae. The record is from RefSeq and is a predicted model, not a curated record.